GUCCAGCUGACGAGUCUUAAAUAGGACCAAAUGCGCGUCCUGGAU
Molecule: non-coding RNA, 45 nt
Organism: Schistosoma mattheei
Lineage: Eukaryota; Metazoa; Platyhelminthes; Trematoda; Strigeidida; Schistosomatidae
Source: Rfam